Molecule: non-coding RNA, 330 nt
Filed under: Chlorocebus sabaeus (green monkey)
Lineage: Eukaryota; Metazoa; Chordata; Mammalia; Primates; Cercopithecidae
Source: Rfam by way of RNAcentral
GCCAGGCACAGUGGCUCACGCCUGUGAUCCCAGCACUUUGGGAGGCCAAGGUGGGCAGAUCACCUGAGGUCGGGAGUUUGAGACCAGCCUGACCAACAUGGAGAAACCCUGUCUCUACUAAAAAUACAAAAUUAGCCGGGCAUGGUGGCGCAUGCCUGUAAUCCCAGCUACUUGGGUGGCUGACACAGGGGAAUCGCUUGAACCAAGUAACUGGGAUUACAGGCAUGUGCCACCAUGCCCGGCUAACUUUGUAUUUUUAGUAGAGACGGGGUUUCUCCACGUUGGUCAGACUGGUCUCAAACUCUCUACCUCAGGUGAUCUGCCCACCUU